UGGCUGCCGGCUCCGGCCGCUGCGGCCGCCGCUUUGCCCAGGGGGCGCAAGGAGCUCUUCCUGGUGUUCACCAUGGCCCCGGGGAGGGGGACACGGGGGGGCCCCGCCGCCGCCGCCGCCGCCGCUGUUGCUGCCGCUGCCGCCGGCGCGGAGGGAGGAGGGAGGGCGGACAGGCGGGGGCUCGGGCAGGGAGGGGAAGGGAAGGGGAGGGGGAAGAAGGAGAAGUCCUCUGGGGACGCCGCUCCGCCGGGCAGAGACACCAGACAGAACCGCGCCGACUCCUCCCGCCGCUGCCGCCGCCUCCUCGGCUCAGCCCCGCACUAGCCGGCCGCCAUUACUGCCCCUUCUCCCUUUCUCUCCUCUCCGCGCCGCCACCCCGGCUGUUGCCGCGGGGGGGCGCUGCGGCGCCGCCGCCGCCGCGCGCAGGGCCGAGGCGGCCCCCGCUGCAUCCAACAGUCACGUUACAGAGGGCCAAAGAUUUGUAUCUAUUACACUACGUCGGAUGCCUGAGCGCUUUUCAAACUGUUCACAAACACUGACGUGCAGCAAGAAAUCCUCCUUGUGCCACCAGCUGCUGGCCUUCAUUGAACUGAGACACAACGCAUUUAUUAGAAAAGAAGAUGAAUGUAACCAAAACUUAUACUGAGAAGAGGCGAGGACAUCUGCUGUGGCAGGUACACCACUGACAAAUUGGAAGACCAUGAAAAAGUGCUUGAGAAGAAUCCCUUUUGCUCAACGAGACUUGGGGAAUUAAGUCUUACUGGGACUCGGUGACAUAAAAAGACAUUAAAAGAUGAGCCAGGAUAAAGAAGAAUGGAAAUCCUUGUUUAUUCCAUAAGUAAGAUUUAAUGUCAUGGGAAAUACUUGGAGAUGGAAGAUUCUGUUGCCACCUGUUCCUGUUUUAUAAGGAAAUCAGGAACACAUGAUAACAAAAGAAAAAGUGCUUCAUCAUUUAUUAGAACUUUUGUAGAGACUUUCAUCCCAGUAGGGACCAGAGGGCUUUUUUCAGUGAAAUCCUAUUUGCUUCAAUCAUAGGCAAUUUAUCAGAGAUUACUUUGUAAUAUCUCUGAAUAGCUGUAACAUUCCAAAGAAUGGAAAUUAAAUCAUCUUUUCAGGACUCUACUUAUAAGCUCUUGUGUGCUUCUUUCUGUCAUGCUGUCAACUCAUCCUGGUUUCAGCUGAAUCUCAAAAUAAAUAGAUUCAGAAGAGAUUAUGCUUUUGUACGUGUGCUCUAUGUCCUUUCUUGAAAGAAUUUUAGGAAAUUGAGAUGGAAUGGCUUCUCUCUUGAGAACUGUCCACUGUGCAAAUAGGCCCUUGGGAAACAUCAAACGAGGGCAUGCUAGCCCGGAUUGGUCCCACCUUACACCUGAACACACAAAGUAAGUCCCUCCACAUUGCACGUGCUUUGCAGUGAUAUUAAAGUGACCCAUUCUUAAUAAUAACGUUUUAGAAAUUAACUUUGAAUGUUCGGUUCUAAUGUUCAGCUGAAUAUUGCUUUCCAAACUACGAUAGGUAACAUAACUGCAGCUUGAAGUGGUAUCAGAGAGCAGAUUUCUUACAUGACGUUAAAUAGGAGUGAUAAGAACUGCCUCCUGAUAUUUCAAAAUUAG
RNAcentral lists this long non-coding RNA (1610 nucleotides) under Gallus gallus (chicken). Lineage: Eukaryota; Metazoa; Chordata; Aves; Galliformes; Phasianidae. The record is from RNAcentral.